This is a long non-coding RNA of Ictalurus punctatus (channel catfish), 3352 nucleotides long. The record is from Ensembl. NCBI's taxonomy places the organism in Eukaryota, Metazoa, Chordata, Actinopteri, Siluriformes, Ictaluridae.
GAGAGAGAGAGAGCGAGAGAGAGCGAGCGCCGGGAGAGGAGCUGUUCAUAUUUCACUGCUUGCCGAGAAACGACCAUUUACAUGUUGGAUUCUGAAUCAUUUUAAAGAAAAAGACUCGACUCCCGACGGAAUUGAACUCUUUCUCGUUUUGAGCCGACCUCCAAAGAUCAACCACGAUUCGAAACCACAGACGUGUCCUGCAGCCAUGAGGAGCAGUGGAGAUCGCUAAGAAGUACUUGUCAUGCUUAAAAGGAAAAAGGGCUGUAACACGGCGAACUUCAGACGGACGCCAAGCGACAUUAUAGAGACAAAAUUAGUCUUCUUGACAGUGUGGAUCCAUACGAUCUCCCAAACGGAGUGGAGUAAUACUCUGGAUGUGCCUCCUUUUACCCGGUAUUCACACUCGCAGGUCAUAAGCCGCUCAUGUGGUUUGUAGUUUGCCUUUUGUGGGCGUGUACCAUCCAGCCAAAAUGUCUAGCCUACAGUCCACGAUACGAUUUUUACACACCACUUUUGUUUAAAAUGUAUUUAAGUUUGAUCAGUCCUCGAUCACUCCUACUUCCUUCCAAGCUUUAUUUCUCUUUCGAAUGUCUCCUAUACACAUUUAAUGGGAGAGCCACACCUCCUUCACUGACACUCACAGAUGCCACACCUCCUUCACUCAGACUGAUGGCUACAGAGGCCACACCUCCUCCAGUGACAGCUGCAGAGGCCACACCUCCUUGACUCAGACCGACCGACAAAAGGACAGCAUUUCUAAUUCAGUCCAGCCAAGUCAAACGCUGUUCAGUUGUCUGUGAGCAAUUUUUAAUUACUACUUUCCCCGGCGUUUAAUUAUGGGCUGUUUGAGUCAUGUCGUCAUGGCAAAUUGCUUUAAUUUGAGGAAUGCACUGCAUAUAAGCUACAGUGCACAUGCAUGCACUUAAAAUGAGUCACUGGUCUCAGACAGCUGCUUCUUUUAACCAGGAGAUUAAUAGUCACAUGUCCACGUAAACAUAACCUAAACGUAACAUAAUAAAAUGUAAACAUAAUAAUAAUAAUAAUAAACAUAAAAAUACAAUUCCAUGUGAGCGAGAAGUUUGUUUUGGUCAUUUCGACAGCUUGAAUUCCUGAGCGAUGUUAACGUCGCAAGUUGAUCACGUUUACACCUUUAAAACGUUGUUGACUCUUGGCCCAAAUAAAGAGCUGUUCAUGCGUUUAUCGUGUCCUGAUCGAUCGCUGCCGUCACGUGCGAGUGCUCGAACCCGUCCGUAAUAGACUUCGGAGGUGGAAGUUUUGGAUAGGCGAGUCUGACGCAGAGUGUAAUCACAAUUCUAACCGCACAGUUGAUUCUUAACAUUUACCAACACAUUUAAUGGAAAUGUUGACGGCUCGAUUCCUGAUGGGGUUUGUGUUGUUUUCUCCGCCUUUGCAUCGUUCGAGGAAACGUUUUAACAGCUAGUUAAUUAAAUCUUUAGCAUCAGUCAAUAGCUAGCUCGUGGGCAGCGUCCAUAUUUCCUAGUUGCCUAGCAACAGGGAUCCCACAACAUUGGUUUUAGCGGUUAGUGUACUCGCACUCUGCGUUAAAAGCACAAAUUCGCGCUUUGCUUUUUGAGUGCACCAUAACCAUUAGGAAGGGGGUGUGUGUGUGUGUGUGUGCACGAUACCUCAGCAUCCCUGCACUCUGCCCUCAGCAUGCCGCAUCAGGGCAUUCUGGGUAAAAUGUGUACCGUGUUGCCAUGGUGAUGGAAUUUUGGACCACGGGAUGUGUACAGUGGACAAAGUCACCAUACCGCAAACACACACUUGUAGACAGAUAGACACGGCCACUACGGAUGUACAUACCGAUGUUAACAUGUAAGUAUGCAUCAUGGGAACACACACACACACACACACACACACACACACAGCUUAUUCCUCGCACAUCACAACUCAUACAUGAGGAAAAGAUUAGGCUGGUCUAUAUGCAGGGGAGACGAAUAUUGAUUGUGUGCCCCUCGCUCUCACUCUCGCUCUCACACACACACACACACACACACACACACACACACACACACACACACAGACUACGUUUUCAUGCAAGCAAAUAAUCUGAUAGUAAUCUGAAAAGCCUUCAUGUAAACACCUUUAUCGAUCCGAUUGAGCUCGUUCCGAAUGCAGUUCCGAUCGGAUUGGAAGAGGCGGUCUGUCAGAUUCAAAAAUACCAAGUGCAACGGCGCGUAGGUUCACGUCUUAAAUAUGGCGUCCGCCGGAAAGAACCGGUCGAUGGAGGAGACCAGAUAAUUUUCUGAGCAUACUAAAAGACGAAAAGAUUGUGGAGAGACUGGACGGAAGAAAAGUUCGUAAUAACGAUCUCUUGGAUGAAGUGUUUGAGGAAAUUCAGCUUGGCUUCAGGAUUCAGUCGGUCAGUAGAACAAAUGAAAAACCAUGGUAACAGGCUUCUAUACGUCAACAAAGCAACACAACAAAUCCUAUUAGGUCAUUUGGUGUCACGUCCGUGACGUUCUUUCUCCGCUAUUGUAUGGUUGGCAUGACGACAGACUCUUGGGCAGAAGCUUUGUUUGUAUCGCACGUGUAAACGAAUAUUUGAAUCAGAUUGCAAUGUUUAGGGCAAAUAAAAACAGAUCUGCAAUCGGAUUGACGAAAAUGGGUGUACGCAUGCAUACACACACUAAAGGGGAUGCCAGUCUCUGCUACACACUCCAUCAAUAGUUAUCAAUUCAGCUCUAGUUGCUCCAUUCACCAUGCAGGACAUGCUUCAUCAUAUUGUGUGUGUGUGUGUGUGUGUGUGUGUGUGUGUGUGUGUGUGUGUGUGUGUGUGUAAGCCGGUUAGCUUGGCAUUACGAGUACACACAGACAAAAACAGCAGCUGUCAGCUCACACUUAUCAAAUUUAUUGCGACUCUAUUGUCUAACCCAGUACAGAGGUGCCUGAAGGCACCGUCUCUCACUCACACACACACACACACACACACACACGCACGCACACACACACAGCCUAACUGUCGUUAUUCAGCAGAGGGACGUUAUAUCGCACCACUGUGUGCUCCAUAAAUGCAGAAAUGCCUUCUAAACAUUUUCCAGUGCCUCACUCGUGUGUGAAGGUGUGGAGGGAGUUUCUCUGGCUGUGUUCCAAACCGAAUCACACCUAAAGGAACAGAGCCAAAGAUUACAUUCAGCCGCAUUCCCACUUUACCCGAAAUCUAGUCGAUGAGCCGAGAUGUUUGAUUUCCGAAGCCGGAUUCUUUAGCUUUGCGUUGGCGCUACAAGGCGAGUAAGCUAUUAGUUUAUGGAAACGAAAGAAUGGCGCUGGCCGCCAUCUUGGAGCUGGCCUCACUUUCUUUCUGAAAGCACCAAUUCAGAUUGGAUUAGUU